AGCGUACACGGUGGAUGCCCUGGCAGUCAGAGGCGAUGAAGGACGUGCUAAUCUGCGAUAAGCGUCGGUAAGGUGAUAUGAACCGUUAUAACCGGCGAUUUCCGAAUGGGGAAACCCAGUGUGUUUCGACACACUAUCAUUAACUGAAUCCAUAGGUUAAUGAGGCGAACCGGGGGAACUGAAACAUCUAAGUACCCCGAGGAAAAGAAAUCAACCGAGAUUCCCCCAGUAGCGGCGAGCGAACGGGGAGCAGCCCAGAGCCUGAAUCAGUGUGUGUGUUAGUGGAAGCGUCUGGAAAGGCGCGCGAUACAGGGUGACAGCCCCGUACACAAAAAUGCACAUGCUGUGAGCUCGAUGAGUAGGGCGGGACACGUGGUAUCCUGUCUGAAUAUGGGGUGACCAUCCUCCAAGGCUAAAUACUCCUGACUGACCGAUAGUGAACCAGUACCGUGAGGGAAAGGCGAAAAGAACCCCGGCGAGGGGAGUGAAAAAGAACCUGAAACCGUGUACGUACAAGCAGUGGGAGCACGCUUAGGCGUGUGACUGCGUACCUUUUGUAUAAUGGGUCAGCGACUUAUAUUCUGUAGCAAGGUUAACCGAAUAGGGGAGCCGAAGGGAAACCGAGUCUUAACUGGGCGUUAAGUUGCAGGGUAUAGACCCGAAACCCGGUGAUCUAGCCAUGGGCAGGUUGAAGGUUGGGUAACACUAACUGGAGGACCGAACCGACUAAUGUUGAAAAAUUAGCGGAUGACUUGUGGCUGGGGGUGAAAGGCCAAUCAAACCGGGAGAUAGCUGGUUCUCCCCGAAAGCUAUUUAGGUAGCGCCUCGUGAAUUCAUCUCCGGGGGUAGAGCACUGUUUCGGCAAGGGGGUCAUCCCGACUUACCAACCCGAUGCAAACUGCGAAUACCGGAGAAUGUUAUCACGGGAGACACACGGCGGGUGCUAACGUCCGUCGUGAAGAGGGAAACAACCCAGACCGCCAGCUAAGGUCCCAAAGUCAUGGUUAAGUGGGAAACGAUGUGGGAAGGCCCAGACAGCCAGGAUGUUGGCUUAGAAGCAGCCAUCAUUUAAAGAAAGCGUAAUAGCUCACUGGUCGAGUCGGCCUGCGCGGAAGAUGUAACGGGGCUAAACCAUGCACCGAAGCUGCGGCAGCGACGCUUAUGCGUUGUUGGGUAGGGGAGCGUUCUGUAAGCCUGUGAAGGUGUGCUGUGAGGCAUGCUGGAGGUAUCAGAAGUGCGAAUGCUGACAUAAGUAACGAUAAAGCGGGUGAAAAGCCCGCUCGCCGGAAGACCAAGGGUUCCUGUCCAACGUUAAUCGGGGCAGGGUGAGUCGACCCCUAAGGCGAGGCCGAAAGGCGUAGUCGAUGGGAAACAGGUUAAUAUUCCUGUACUUGGUGUUACUGCGAAGGGGGGACGGAGAAGGCUAUGUUGGCCGGGCGACGGUUGUCCCGGUUUAAGCGUGUAGGCUGGUUUUCCAGGCAAAUCCGGAAAAUCAAGGCUGAGGCGUGAUGACGAGGCACUACGGUGCUGAAGCAACAAAUGCCCUGCUUCCAGGAAAAGCCUCUAAGCAUCAGGUAACAUCAAAUCGUACCCCAAACCGACACAGGUGGUCAGGUAGAGAAUACCAAGGCGCUUGAGAGAACUCGGGUGAAGGAACUAGGCAAAAUGGUGCCGUAACUUCGGGAGAAGGCACGCUGAUAUGUAGGUGAAGCGACUUGCUCGUGGAGCUGAAAUCAGUCGAAGAUACCAGCUGGCUGCAACUGUUUAUUAAAAACACAGCACUGUGCAAACACGAAAGUGGACGUAUACGGUGUGACGCCUGCCCGGUGCCGGAAGGUUAAUUGAUGGGGUCAGCGCAAGCGAAGCUCUUGAUCGAAGCCCCGGUAAACGGCGGCCGUAACUAUAACGGUCCUAAGGUAGCGAAAUUCCUUGUCGGGUAAGUUCCGACCUGCACGAAUGGCGUAAUGAUGGCCAGGCUGUCUCCACCCGAGACUCAGUGAAAUUGAACUCGCUGUGAAGAUGCAGUGUACCCGCGGCAAGACGGAAAGACCCCGUGAACCUUUACUAUAGCUUGACACUGAACAUUGAGCCUUGAUGUGUAGGAUAGGUGGGAGGCUUUGAAGUGUGGACGCCAGUCUGCAUGGAGCCGACCUUGAAAUACCACCCUUUAAUGUUUGAUGUUCUAACGUUGACCCGUAAUCCGGGUUGCGGACAGUGUCUGGUGGGUAGUUUGACUGGGGCGGUCUCCUCCUAAAGAGUAACGGAGGAGCACGAAGGUUGGCUAAUCCUGGUCGGACAUCAGGAGGUUAGUGCAAUGGCAUAAGCCAGCUUGACUGCGAGCGUGACGGCGCGAGCAGGUGCGAAAGCAGGUCAUAGUGAUCCGGUGGUUCUGAAUGGAAGGGCCAUCGCUCAACGGAUAAAAGGUACUCCGGGGAUAACAGGCUGAUACCGCCCAAGAGUUCAUAUCGACGGCGGUGUUUGGCACCUCGAUGUCGGCUCAUCACAUCCUGGGGCUGAAGUAGGUCCCAAGGGUAUGGCUGUUCGCCAUUUAAAGUGGUACGCGAGCUGGGUUUAGAACGUCGUGAGACAGUUCGGUCCCUAUCUGCCGUGGGCGCUGGAGAACUGAGGGGGGCUGCUCCUAGUACGAGAGGACCGGAGUGGACGCAUCACUGGUGUUCGGGUUGUCAUGCCAAUGGCACUGCCCGGUAGCUAAAUGCGGAAGAGAUAAGUGCUGAAAGCAUCUAAGCACGAAACUUGCCCCGAGAUGAGUUCU
RNAcentral lists this ribosomal RNA (2773 nucleotides) under human gut metagenome. Its description in RNAcentral is "bacterial LSU rRNA". It matches the Rfam family "Bacterial large subunit ribosomal RNA". The record is from RNAcentral.